This 1410-nucleotide ribosomal RNA is filed under the name Capsicum annuum. RNAcentral's name for it is "bacterial SSU rRNA". It matches the Rfam family "Bacterial small subunit ribosomal RNA", at positions 8 to 1153 of the family's 1533-position model. Lineage: Eukaryota; Viridiplantae; Streptophyta; Magnoliopsida; Solanales; Solanaceae. The record is from RNAcentral.
AGAGUUUGAUCCUGGCCCAGAAGGAGCGCUAGCUAUAUGCUUAACACAUACAAGUCGAACGUUAUUUUUGGGGAGCUGGGCAGAAGGAAAAGAGGCUCCUAGAUAAACGUAGCUUGUCUCGCCCAGGAGGUGAGAAGAGUUGAGAACAAAGUAGCAAACGGGUGCAUAACGCGUGGGAAUCUGCCAAAUAGUUCAGGCCAAAUCCUGAAGAAAGCUAAAAACACAGUUUCAUGAGCCUGCGUAGUAUUAGGUAGUUAGUUAGGUAAAGGCUGACCAAGCCAAUGAUGCUUAGCUGGUCUUUUUGAAUGAUCAACUACACUGGGACUGAGACACAGCCCAAACUCCCACGGGGGCAGCAGUGGGGAAUCUUGGACAAUGGGCAAAAGCCCGAUCCAGCAAUAUCACAUGAGUGAAGAAGGGUAAUGCCGCUUGUAAAUCUCUUUUGUCGAGUGCUGCGGUAAGAUGGGGGGGGCAAGUGUUCUUCGAAAUGACUGGAUGUAAAGGGCACGUAGGCGGUGAAUCAGGUUGAAAGUGAAAGCCGCCAAAAACUGUCGGAAUGCUCUCAAAACCAAUUCUCUUAAGUGAGACAGAGGAGAGUGGAAUUUCAUGUGUAGGGGUAAAAUCUGGAGAUCUACAAAGGAACGCCAAAAGCGAAGACAACUCUCUAGGUCCCUACAGAUGCUGAGGUGCGAAAGCAUGGGGAGCGAACAGGAUUAGUUACCCUGGUAGUCCAUGUCGUAAACGAUGAGUGUUUGCCCUUGGUCUACGCAGAUCAGGGGCCCAGCUAACGCAUGAAACACUCCGCCUGCGGAGUAUGGUUGUAAGACCGAAACUUAAAAGAAUUGACGGGGGCCUGCACAAACGGUAAAGCAUGUGGUUUAAUUUGAUACAACGCGCAAAACCUUACUAGCCCUUGACAUAUGAACAAGAAAACCUGUCCUUAACGGGAUGGUACUGACUUUCAUAUAGGUGCUGCAUGGCUGUUGUCAGCUAUUGUCAUGAGAUGUUUGGUCAAGUCCUAUAACGAGUGAAACCCUCAUUUUGUGUUGCUGAGACUUGCGCCUAAGGAGAGAGUCUUUGAAAUCGAAGUUACCUAAGGAACCGAGUGAUGUGCCAGCGCUACUAAUUGAGUGCCAGCACGUAGCUGUGCUGUCAGUAAGAAGGUAGCCGACACCUUUUAAAGCACUUUCUAUUUCUAUUUAGCGCUCUUUUUUUAUUGUAGCUAGCGCGCUUGACUAAUGAUGAUAGAAAGGGAAUUUGUCGCUUGUUUAGUAAAGUCGAUGUUUUUGGUAUUAUCUUACAGGUGAAGACGACGUUGAUUUGAUGGCAGAGAAAGACUCGACAUUUAGGCAAGACUCCCGAUGGUGUGGUACGUAGUGGGUUUAGUACACCCCUCCCAAACAAACGGCU